Molecule: ribosomal RNA, 253 nt
Filed under: uncultured bacterium
Lineage: Bacteria
Description: partial 16S ribosomal RNA
Rfam family: Bacterial small subunit ribosomal RNA
Source: RNAcentral
UACGUAGGGUGCAAGCGUUAAUCGGAAUUACUGGGCGUAAAGCGUGCGCAGGCGGCUUUGCAAGACAGAUGUGAAAUCCCCGGGCUUAACCUGGGAACUGCAUUUGUGACUGCAUGGCUGGAGUGCGGCAGAGGCGAGUGGAAUUCCUGGUGUAGCGGUGAAAUGCGCAGAUAUCGCCUGGAACGCCGAAGGUGAAAACAGUCUGCUGGGGGCGUACCGACGCUGAGACACGAAAGCCAGGGGAGCGAACGGG